Long non-coding RNA from Seriola aureovittata, 1590 nucleotides. RefSeq lists it as uncharacterized. The record is from RefSeq and is a predicted model, not a curated record. NCBI's taxonomy places the organism in Eukaryota, Metazoa, Chordata, Actinopteri, Carangiformes, Carangidae. The transcript has 4 exons.
UCUGUCGUUUUCGUGGGUGUGACCAUGUCCCGUUGACAAAGGCUGAAGCGGAGAUGACAGCAUCCUGUUUUUGUUUGUUUGGUUUUUUGUUUUAGUUUGCGCAUGCGCAGUGAGGAUAAUCCUGGGAUUAUUGACGGUCCAUGGUGAUUAGUUUUAGCCAAAAUGUGCUUGUCAAACUAAUACAUCCAUUGUAAAGUUUUCCUUGACUAAGAUUCUACCGUUGUGAGAUCAGUUAUGAUAUAUGACGCAUCAUACGCAUGCGCAGAAGUGUGUGAAAACUAGACUUCGCGUUAACAGGCAGCAUUAGGAGGUAAACUAGCAAAUUACACUGAUUUAUUAUCUCCGUGCAAAUUAUGCAGUAAAUUUGGGACAGAAUGUUGUUACACAAGCUCAGUACGUGGGUUGUGUGCGUAGAGAGAGAGAGAGAGAGCAGUGCUGGCGACCAGAGCAGAGAGUUAGCUAGUUAGUUCGCAGUUAGCAGUAUUGCUCUGAACAUACAGUGCGAUGUAAGUAAACUUUAGGCUGUUUGUGCUACAACUACAACUACAGCCACAACUCCUCAAGACCGAAGUCCCUCGUCUCCCCUGUGCUCUUCAACUACAGGCCAGACUAUGAUCUAGGAAGGGAUAACAACGCUGAGGCUGGAAAAUGCAGGAUUCUGCUUUGUCACUACAGAGCGUGUCAUUUGUCAGUUAAUGCCAGGGAGGUGAAAGGUGAAGAUGUCCAGGCAGAGAGCGGCAGGAUGCAGGAGAGACUUUCAGCUCAGUCGUACUCCUCUGGUGUGAUUGGACACCUGAACAGAGCUCCUGGUCGACUGCCCUGCAACCUCCCCUGCCCCGCUGCCUGUGGCGCGCCCACCAGGAUCCUGAGGGAACAUCAGUGACAUUUAAUUGUAAUACGUGGCGUCCAAGAUUGAUGGAAGAUGUUGCAGAGAUUGUCCCUCUCCCUCCAGUGAGCACGUGGUCCGCAGAGUAAUAUUCCUGAAAGCUCUCAGCCAGGCAGCGCUGCUUCCCACCGAGCUUUUGUCCGAACCCAGGCAGCCCAGUGGAGGAAUGGGAGAAUGCUAAAUAGACAGAGAGUAAGUGGGAGGUAGUAAAGAGCAUUAAUUGUGUGUGUGUGUGUGUGUGUGUGUGUGUGUGUGUGUGUGUUCAUGCUAGACUGUAAAGCCCAUGCUAUAUACCCUUUGCUUUUUCUGAUCUCUCAUAUAAAUAAGCACUGCAGCAGGGUGAGUUCCUACAUUUAUGAGGCUUUCACAUGAAUGGCCUCUGAGAGAUUUAGCAACAAGAGUUACUGUGGGACAAACUGAAAAGGAGAGAGGGAGAGAUUGAGCAGGAGAAAAGUCAUGAAUUGAAUUAGGGAGGGUAAAAGGGGGAAGGUUCAUUCUCAACUGUUAAGCCGGGGCUGAAAAAGCUGCUUUUAUUUAGCUAUUUUAAUGCAAAUUAGCACCCAGAAAUUCUUCUUUGUGAUAUGAAUGUGUGAAGCAGUUAUGCUGGGCCCCAUUUAAACACAUUUAUGUGUAUCACAUAUGGCGCUAGGUACAGAGGAUACUGUGUUUGACCCAUGAAGACAAACGUAUUGUUAGUUUUCACA